AGAUUAAACUGAAGAGUUUGAUCCUGGCUCAGAUUGAACGCUGGCGGCAUGCCUUACACAUGCAAGUCGAACGGCAGCACGGAGCUUGCUCUGGUGGCGAGUGGCGAACGGGUGAGUA
RNAcentral lists this ribosomal RNA (118 nucleotides) under Duganella qianjiadongensis. RNAcentral describes it as "partial 16S ribosomal RNA". It matches the Rfam family "Bacterial small subunit ribosomal RNA", at positions 1 to 112 of the family's 1533-position model. Lineage: Bacteria; Pseudomonadati; Pseudomonadota; Betaproteobacteria; Burkholderiales; Oxalobacteraceae. The record is from RNAcentral.